RNAcentral lists this transfer RNA (83 nucleotides) under Candidatus Moranbacteria bacterium CG_4_8_14_3_um_filter_34_16. RNAcentral's name for it is "tRNA-Leu". It matches the Rfam family "tRNA". From Rfam's summary of the family: Transfer RNA (tRNA) molecules are approximately 80 nucleotides in length. Lineage: Bacteria; Candidatus Moraniibacteriota. The record is from RNAcentral. RNAcentral also lists the same sequence under 1 other name.
GCCUUGGUGGCGGAAUUGGUAUACGCGCCAGUCUUAGGAACUGGUGGGCUUGUCCCAUGAGAGUUCGAGUCUCUCCCAAGGCA